RNAcentral lists this ribosomal RNA (243 nucleotides) under uncultured Delftia sp. RNAcentral describes it as "partial 16S ribosomal RNA". It matches the Rfam family "Bacterial small subunit ribosomal RNA", at positions 111 to 355 of the family's 1533-position model. The record is from RNAcentral. Lineage: Bacteria; Pseudomonadati; Pseudomonadota; Betaproteobacteria; Burkholderiales; Comamonadaceae.
UAAUACAUCGGAACGUGCCCAGUCUGGGGGGAGUAACUACUCGAAAGAGUAGCUAAUACCGCAUACGAUCUGAGGAUGAAANCGGGGGACCUUCGGGCCUCGCGCGAUUGGAGCGGCCGAUGGCAGAUUAGGUAGUUGGUGGGAUAAAAGCUUACCAAGCCGACGAUCUGUAGCUGGUCUGAGAGGACGACCAGCCACACUGGGACUGAGACACGGCCCAGACUCCUACGGGAGGCAGCAGCU